AGUGAACGCUGGCGGCAGGCCUAACACAUGCAAGUCGAACGGCAGCACAAGAGAUCUUGCUCUCUGGGUGGCGAGUGGCGGACGGGUGAGGAAUGCAUCGGAAUCUGCCCAUUUGUGGGGGAUAACCUCGGGAAACCGGGACUAAUACCGCAUACGACCUACGGGUGAAAGCAGGGGAUCUUCGGACCUUGCGCAGAUGGAUGAGCCGAUGCCGGAUUAGCUAGUUGGAGGGGUAAAGGCCCACCAAGGCGACGAUCCGUAGCUGGUCUGAGAGGAUGAUCAGCCACACUGGGACUGAGACACGGCCCAGACUCCUACGGGAGGCAGCAGUGGGGAAUAUUGGACAAUGGGCGCAAGCCUGAUCCAGCCAUGCCGCGUGUGUGAAGAAGGCCUUCGGGUUGUAAAGCACUUUUGUUGGGAAAGAAAAGCAGCCGGUUAAUACCCGGUUGUCAUGACGGUACCCAAAGAAUAAGCACCGGCUAACUUCGUG
This 490-nucleotide ribosomal RNA is filed under the name uncultured bacterium. RNAcentral's name for it is "partial 16S ribosomal RNA". It matches the Rfam family "Bacterial small subunit ribosomal RNA", at positions 29 to 507 of the family's 1533-position model. The record is from RNAcentral.